Long non-coding RNA from Bubalus bubalis (water buffalo), 1673 nucleotides. RefSeq lists it as uncharacterized. The transcript has 3 exons. The record is from RefSeq and is a predicted model, not a curated record. Lineage: Eukaryota; Metazoa; Chordata; Mammalia; Artiodactyla; Bovidae.
UGGGGAAAGGGCUGGGAAACUUACCUUUCAGCAGGUGAUGUCAACUUUCACUUAAAUACGCUCCUUUCACUAGGCUGCCUCGCCCUGCCCUCAGCAGUACCUGAUGUUCCUGAAAGAGAACUGAUCUGGUUCAGCUUCUCUUGAGGGUAAAUCUGCUUCUCAGGCUCAAAGAGGGGCUUUGGAGUGUCCAGAUGGCUUCUUUAAGUUCUACUUCAGGAUGGCUAUCUGAAAGAAAUAAAACCACUACUCGCAUCCCCGUGUUUGCUGUGGCAUUACUCACAAAGGCAUGGAGACCACCUAAGCGUCCACCGUCAGGUGUCGUCUGGGAUGAGGGGCUCGCCAGAAAUUUCAUCAUGUGGUACCCAUCCUCCAACACGGCCCCAGGGACCACUGCCUCCCCAUGUUCAUAGCCUCACAUGGCUCUCUCUCACACUGUCCCAGGGCUGGUCUCAGUGACCAGUAGAAAAUGGUAUAGGUAAUGCUAUGCUACUUUUGAGAUUGUUGUUCAUUCGCUAAGUCGUGUCCGACUCUUUGAGACCCCGUGGACUGUAGUCUAUGGACUUCUCCAGGCCAGAAUACUGGAGUGAGUUAGCUGUUCCCUUUUCCAGGGAAUCUUCCCAACCCAGGUAUCGAACCCAGGCCUCCUACUUAGAAAGUGGAUUCUUUACCAGCUGAGCCAUUAGGGAAACCCUAGUGAGCCAGAACCAUCCAGUUAAGCUGCAGCUGGCUUCCAGACCUGCAGGAACUAUGUGAAAAAGCACAUAUUUGUUGCUUUAAGCCACUACCACUGAGCACCGUCCCCUUCUGGGCCAAAUCUAACUCUGUACUCCAGCCUUCAGCUUAGCCUGUGCUUUGUCCAGGCUCAGCAGAACCAGGGCACCUGAUGGCAACGCUCUUCUUCCCAGAACCAAAUGAGUGACAGCUUUUUCCAUUUCCAGAUUGUGAGAACUCCUCUCAGAGAUUGAAUUGGCCUUGGCCACUGCUCUGGGUUUGCCAGAGACCCCUCCCCCCCGGCUGUGGGUACAUUAAACAGUGCCAUUGAAUAUCAUGUAAGCCCAGGUCUGCAGCCUGCUGAUCGGAUGUAAACUGCCGCCUUCCCUGUGGUUUGUGAAAGCCACCAGCCAGAAAAACAUCUGCAAAGAAUGCCGCCCCGCACCCCCCCGCCCCCCGCCUCACCACAGUGGACCAAGAGAUGAGAUGCUCACCCUGAGAUCUUCCAGGGGCUUUUGCAGUGGAGAGAAUGGUUUGAGUUGGGAAUCAUGAAGCUGCCCACAGACAUGAUGGUGAAAUCUCACCAUUGGCAAAACACCUAUCACACCCACGGUUUUCUCUUGGUCAAAACUGGGAGGCAAUGAUAUUCUUAUGAACUGAGACAUUGCAGACACUGAGGGCAAACACUGUCAAACUGAGGACUGGUCCGACGUUGGGAAGAUGGUAAAGAACCGGGUUGGGAAACCCUAGUGUCCCACAGGGGAGGUACAGAAGCAGUGGUCUAAUAUCUCAGACUCUGAGUGCUUCUGGAAUUUCCCUGUCUGAGUAAGCGGCAGGACUGCCCACUCAGUUUUCUGAAACCACAGGGGAGAAUUGUUCUGGAGCAUUCACACAUCUCCAUCCCUCUUCCUGUCUUAUCUAGCACCUCCUAUUUUCCCAACUCUUCUCCUGCCCUCUGUUCC